UGCGUAGGCGGCGCGGAAAGUUGGGUGUGAAAUCCCUCGGCUCAACCGAGGAAUUGCGCUCAAAACUACCGUGCUCGAGGGAGAUAGAGGAAUGCGGAACUUAGGGUGGAGCGGUGAAAUGCGUUGAUAUCCUAGGGAACACCGGUGGCGAAAGCGGCAUUCUGGAUCUUAUCUGACGCUGAUGCACGAAAGCUAGGGUAGGCAAACG
RNAcentral lists this ribosomal RNA (208 nucleotides) under uncultured bacterium. RNAcentral's name for it is "partial 16S ribosomal RNA". It matches the Rfam family "Bacterial small subunit ribosomal RNA", at positions 568 to 775 of the family's 1533-position model. The record is from RNAcentral.